UGGUAAUGCCGGAUGCUCCAUCACACCGCAUGGUGUGUUGGGAAAGCCUUUGCGGCAUGGGAUGGGGUCGCGUCCUAUCAGCUUGAUGGCGGGGUAACGGCCCACCAUGGCUUCGACGGGUAGCCGGCCUGAGAGGGCGACCGGCCACAUUGGGACUGAGAUACGGCCCAGACUCCUACGGGAGGCAGCAGUGGGGAAUAUUGCACAAUGGGCGCAAGCCUGAUGCAGCGACGCCGCGUGAGGGAUGGAGGCCUUCGGGUUGUAAACCUCUUUUGUUAGGGAGCAAGGCAUUUUGUGUUGAGUGUACCUUUCGAAUAAGCACCGGCUAACUACGUGCCAGCAGCCGCGGUAAUACGUAGGGUGCAAGCGUUAUCCGGAAUUAUUGGGCGUAAAGGGCUCGUAGGCGGUUCGUCGCGUCCGGUGUGAAAGUCCAUCGCUUAACGGUGGAUCCGCGCCGGGUACGGGCGGGCUUGAGUGCGGUAGGGGAGACUGGAAUUCCCGGUGUAACGGUGGAAUGUGUAGAUAU
This 526-nucleotide ribosomal RNA is filed under the name Bifidobacterium breve. RNAcentral describes it as "bacterial SSU rRNA". It matches the Rfam family "Bacterial small subunit ribosomal RNA", at positions 161 to 697 of the family's 1533-position model. Lineage: Bacteria; Bacillati; Actinomycetota; Actinomycetes; Bifidobacteriales; Bifidobacteriaceae. The record is from RNAcentral.